UACAGAGAGUGCGAGCGUUAAUCGGAAUUACUGGGCGUAAAGCGCACGUAGGUGGAUAUUUAAGUCAGAUGUGAAAGCCCCGGGCUUAACCUGGGAAUUGCAUUUGAUACUGGGUGUCUUGAAUAUAGUAGAGGGAAGUGGAAUUUCCGGUGUAGCGGUGAAAUGCGUAGAUAUCGGAAGGAACAUCAGUGGCGAAAGCGGCUUCCUGGACUAAUAUUGACACUUAGGUGCGAAAGCCAGGGGAGCAAACGGG
Molecule: ribosomal RNA, 253 nt
Filed under: uncultured bacterium
Lineage: Bacteria
Description: partial 16S ribosomal RNA
Rfam family: Bacterial small subunit ribosomal RNA
Source: RNAcentral